RNAcentral lists this ribosomal RNA (305 nucleotides) under uncultured bacterium. RNAcentral's name for it is "bacterial SSU rRNA". It matches the Rfam family "Bacterial small subunit ribosomal RNA", at positions 337 to 634 of the family's 1533-position model. The record is from RNAcentral.
GCCUACGGGGGGCAGCAGUGGGGAAUAUUGCGCAAUGGGCGAAAGCCUGACGCAGCGACGCCGCGUGAGGGAUGAAGGUCUUCGGAUCGUAAACCUCUGUCAGCAGGGAAGAACGGUUACUGUGCUAAUCAGCAGUGAAUUGACGGUACCUGCAAAGGAAGCACCGGCUAACUCCGUGCCAGCAGCCGCGGUAAUACGGAGGGUGCGAGCGUUAAUCGGAAUUACUGGGCGUAAAGCGCUCGUAGGCGGUAUGUCAAGUCAAGGUUGAAAUCCCCGCGCUCAACGCGGGAACUGCCUUUGAAACU